GUGCUGGGUGCUGCGUGCUGGGUGCUGCGUGCUGGGUGCUGGGUGCUGGGUGCUGCAUGCUGCUGCGUGCUGCGUGCUGCACAUCCCCACCAUGCCCACAGAACCAUCCAGGUUGGGAUGGUCCUCCAAGACCCCCAAGUCUGACCCCGAAGUCCGACACCCUUCCAUUGCUGCCAUGCCCACGGAACCAUCCAGGUUGGAAAGGUCCUCCAAGACCCUCACCAUGCCCAUAGAACCAUCACGGUUGGAAAGGUCCUUCAAGACCCCCAAGUCCAACCCCCUUCCAUCCCCACCAUGGCCAUGGAACCAUCCAGGUUGGGAAGGUCCUCCAAGACCCCCAAGUCUGACCCCAGCCCAUCCCCACUGUGCCCAUAGAACCAUCCAGGUUGGAAAGGUCCUCCAAGACCCCCAAGUCCAACCCCCUCCCAUCCCCACCGUGCCCAUAAAACCAUCCAGGUGGGGAAGGUCCUCCAAGACCCCCACCAUGCCCAACCCCAACCCAUCCCCACCAUGGCCACAGAACCAUCAAGGUUGGGAAGGUCCUCCAAGACCCCCAAGUCCAACCCCCUUCCAUCCCCACCAUGGCCACAGAACCAUCCAGGUUGGAAAGGUCCUUCAAGACCCCCAAGUGUGACCCCUCCCAUCACCGCUGUGCCCACAGAACCAUCCAGGUGGGGAAGGUCCUCCAAGACCCCCAAGUCCAACCCCCUCCCAUUGCUGCCGUGCCCAUAGAACCAUCCAGGUUGGAAAGAUCCUCCAAGACCCCCAAGUCUGACCCCAACCCAUCGCCUCCGUGCCCACAGAACCAUCCAGGUUGGGAAGGUCCUCCAAGACCCCCAAGUCCAACCCCCUCCCAUCCCCACCGUGCCCAUAGAACCAUCCAGGUUGGAAAGAUCCUCCAACACCCCCAAGUCCAACCUCCUCCCAUCCCCACCGUGCCCAUA
Molecule: long non-coding RNA, 944 nt
Filed under: Numida meleagris (helmeted guineafowl)
Lineage: Eukaryota; Metazoa; Chordata; Aves; Galliformes; Numididae
Description: lncRNA (ENSNMEG00000019532.1)
Source: RNAcentral